RNAcentral lists this ribosomal RNA (731 nucleotides) under uncultured bacterium. RNAcentral describes it as "bacterial SSU rRNA". It matches the Rfam family "Bacterial small subunit ribosomal RNA", at positions 771 to 1501 of the family's 1533-position model. The record is from RNAcentral.
AACAGGAUUAGAUACCCUGGUAGUCCACGCCGUAAACGAUGUCGACUUGGAGGUUGUGCCCUUGAGGCGUGGCUUCCGGAGCUAACGCGUUAAGUCGACCGCCUGGGGAGUACGGCCGCAAGGUUAAAACUCAAAUGAAUUGACGGGGGCCCGCACAAGCGGUGGAGCAUGUGGUUUAAUUCGAUGCAACGCGAAGAACCUUACCUACUCUUGACAUCCACGGAAUUCGGCAGAGAUGCCUUAGUGCCUUCGGGAACCGUGAGACAGGUGCUGCAUGGCUGUCGUCAGCUCGUGUUGUGAAAUGUUGGGUUAAGUCCCGCAACGAGCGCAACCCUUAUCCUUUGUUGCCAGCGAUUCGGUCGGGAACUCAAAGGAGACUGCCGGUGAUAAACCGGAGGAAGGUGGGGAUGACGUCAAGUCAUCAUGGCCCUUACGAGUAGGGCUACACACGUGCUACAAUGGCGCAUACAAAGAGAAGCGACCUCGCGAGAGCAAGCGGACCUCACAAAGUGCGUCGUAGUCCGGAUCGGAGUCUGCAACUCGACUCCGUGAAGUCGGAAUCGCUAGUAAUCGUGGAUCAGAAUGCCACGGUGAAUACGUUCCCGGGCCUUGUACACACCGCCCGUCACACCAUGGGAGUGGGUUGCAAAAGAAGUAGGUAGCUUAACCUUCGGGAGGGCGCUUACCACUUUGUGAUUCAUGACUGGGGGUGAAGUCGUAACAAGGUAACC